UGGGCUGCAGAUGAUGUGGUGGUGGUUUCAACAGCCUGAACGGGAACUAACUCAUUUCUAACUGGUGGGGUUGGAACUAAUGCAUGAUUUUGGACAUCGGACGCUGUUGACGAGAGUUUAUUACCUUGAAAUAUUUUCAUCCCCCAUGCCGUGUUUUUCUUUGUUGAGGAUGACUGGUGGGAGUCAUGUUCAGGAGCAGUUGGAUCGAAGAUAUUUAAUAUUUCCUCAUCGCUGUUGGAAAUUUCAGGCACUACAUCCGAAGGGUUCAUUUUAAAAUUACCAAACGUGUCCUCUGCAGUUGUGUAUUCCAUAGCGGCAAGAUCAAAGCAGACGAUCAAAGAGUCAAAGACCCGGAUAUACUAUGUUUAUUGCACUAUUUAAUAUUUGACAAGUAAAAGCAUGAGAUGUUUUGUUUAUUUAUUUAACUAAAUCGAUAAAUUAUACACUGUACAUGUUUUUAAAAGGUUUUAAUUUCCUUUGUUUUGUCUACGAUGUUUAUGAUAUAUAAAUAGACUGCGGAUUUCCCCUUGAUGUAAAGCCAUAUCACUUUGAAGUAUUACUACGCCGAUCUUUCCGGUUUAAGAAGAGUUAUCUUUCUUUGUACAUAGAGGCUUAUGCAGAUAAAUAAUAAAAAUUAAACAUC
Long non-coding RNA from Saccostrea cuccullata (small rock oyster), 643 nucleotides. RefSeq lists it as uncharacterized. The transcript is spliced from 3 exons. The record is from RefSeq and is a predicted model, not a curated record. NCBI's taxonomy places the organism in Eukaryota, Metazoa, Mollusca, Bivalvia, Ostreida, Ostreidae.